This 253-nucleotide ribosomal RNA is filed under the name uncultured bacterium. Its description in RNAcentral is "partial 16S ribosomal RNA". It matches the Rfam family "Bacterial small subunit ribosomal RNA", at positions 524 to 776 of the family's 1533-position model. The record is from RNAcentral.
UACGUAGGGCGCAAGCGUUGUCCGGAAUUAUUGGGCGUAAAGAGCUCGUAGGUGGCUGGUCGCGUCUGCCGUGAAAGCCCGCAGCUUAGCUGCGGGUCUGCGGUGGAUACGGGCCGGCUAGAGGUAGGUAGGGGCAAGUGGAAUUCCUGGUGUAGCGGUGAAAUGCGUAGAUAUCUGGAGGAACACCGGUGGCGAAGGCGGCAUCCUGGACCGAGAUUGACGCUGAGGCGCGAAAGCUAGGGGAGCAAACGGG